Phasianus colchicus (ring-necked pheasant) is the source of this 1141-nucleotide long non-coding RNA. RefSeq lists it as uncharacterized. The record is from RefSeq and is a predicted model, not a curated record. Lineage: Eukaryota; Metazoa; Chordata; Aves; Galliformes; Phasianidae.
GAUUUGGGCAGUCAAGGCAGGCAAUCACAAAGGAGAAGCUGAAGCCAUGUGAAGUUGAAGGGUGAUGCAGCCCUUCCCUCUAGACUGUAGAAAUCAGGAGCAGGACAAUGUAUUGCCAGCCUUCUGCCUUCGUUAUGCCGUUUUCCCAGUGUUCCAUGCCUUCUGUGCUCCUGGGAAUUGUCUGAAAACUGAAGUUAAUAAGCUGGAUCCAUGCUCUCAAGUGCCUGGCAAACAAAAAAAAAAAACACAUCAAUUUCAGCUCAUUCAUUCUCUCAAGAUCAGGACUGACUGGAUCACUGAAGUAAUGCUUUGACUUCCUAUAAUAGGGAGUUUCACCUAGAGUGAACAGAAUUGAAAAAUACAAGGUAGUUAUUUCAGUGAUCUUGCAAAAAAUAGUCCUGCAGAACAUGUGUUCAACUAUCCUCUGUAACUGGACAGAACUACAUAGAGCUUAUUCACCCAGCUAAUUUAAUAGUGAAUGAAACUUUUAAACUACAGUAUUGAAUGCCAAAAAUAUUGAAAAGAAACUGCACAGCAUGGGCUGUAUAAAAGGGUUCCUUAAAUUUAAUGUGAUUUUCCCAUAUAGUACAGAUUACCAUGUCAGAAAUUCUAGGAGUAAAAUGAUACAUGUUGAAGAAUUGGUAGCUGAUUUUUCUAGAGAAUAAGUAGCAUCCAAGGCCUGUAAGAUUGAAGAGUUCUUUGGGGCAAGUCUAUCAAUGUUGAAAAGCAUCAUGAGUUAGUAACCUGAACAAGGUAUUAGUUAGCAGGAGUAGUUGAUAAUGUGUUACCUGAACAGCCUGAACAGCUUGGCUCAAAGUAUUGCAUUUUCUUCCCUUAAUUGAGGGUGAGGGGUAAUCAAAGCAUUGCUAAUAAAACCAGACUGAUGGUAACACAACAGGUUUUGCAAAGUCUUGCAAGAGAUCUGCAAUGAUCUGGUAAUGGCUGAAAUUUGGGCCCAUUUCCAACCAUUACUAGCUCAUAAAGGCUUUGUAUUUCUUUGUAUAUUCUGAGACUGGUCCAGGCUGACCUGUACUCUUGCCUCCACAUGUUAUGUCUUUUUUCCAGAGAAACUCAAUAGCAGCAGAACUCCUUGUGAUUGAUCUCCUUUGAAUGUUAACAAGCAAAGAACAUGCCAUUAAUA